This 76-nucleotide transfer RNA is filed under the name Muribaculaceae bacterium. RNAcentral describes it as "tRNA-Glu". It matches the Rfam family "tRNA". From Rfam's summary of the family: Transfer RNA (tRNA) molecules are approximately 80 nucleotides in length. Lineage: Bacteria; Pseudomonadati; Bacteroidota; Bacteroidia; Bacteroidales; Muribaculaceae. The record is from RNAcentral.
GGCGCAUUAGUGUAGAGGCCUAGCACGCCGCUCUCUCAAGGCGGAGACUCGGGUUCGAAUCCCGGACGCGCUACCA